RNAcentral lists this long non-coding RNA (1209 nucleotides) under Vigna radiata. RNAcentral's name for it is "long non-coding RNA (VRAD_LNC009572)". Lineage: Eukaryota; Viridiplantae; Streptophyta; Magnoliopsida; Fabales; Fabaceae. The record is from RNAcentral.
UUUAGUGGUUACAUCAAUCCCCCAACAACAAUGAAACUAGCUCUCCAUGAAUGGAGAGCUCAAGCUUACAACAAUGGUGGAAAUGGAAGAAAGAAGAGAACCCAAGGAAGAAGAAGGANUGUUCCCACAGCUCCUAGCUUGCUCCAAGAGCUCCCAAUCAGAGGAAAUGCGUCUGGGUAGCAAAAGAUCCCAAGUUCUUCGUGCAUCCAAGUGAAAUAGGGCAAAUCUGCCAUGUCAGCAAAGUUGGCGCUCAAGCCCCCCAAAACUGGGGCGCUCAGGCGCACGUCAGCCACUCUUCAGGAGCUGAUGCACUGGCGCUCGAGCCCCCCAAAACUGGGGGGGCUCGAGCCUGAUUUCAGCAGAAUUCUUAUUCUUCGUUUUUGCUGCUUUUUUUUUUUUUGCUUUUCUUGGUUUCUAGUGCCUUCCUUUGAUGCAUAGACUUCUUCCAAUUACCUUAAGCACAUAAAAGCAAGGAUUAGUGAACAAAAUAUCUCAUUAAAGCUUGGGGUACAACCACUUAAUCAAACUAAAAGAAAACAAGGAUUUACAAGGUAAAAAGUUAGGAAAGGGUUGACAAUUUCUCUUGAUUCAUCACUGAAAUCAUGGUAAAAUAUGUCAUUAUCACACGUGUAUUAUUAACCUUUUAAAAUAUAUUUUUGAUUAUUUUUAUAAAAGAGAAGGAAAAAGGCUUUUAGCACAAGGCCUACGCGAACGGUCGCACGUGUGCUUUAACCUUUUAAAACGUAUUUUUAUUAUUUUUUAUGAAAAAUAAAAGGGAAAAAAGUUUUUAGCACAAAGCCUACGCAAACGGUCUGUGCUUUAACCUUUUAAAACAUGUUUUUGUUUUUUUCAAUAUUUAUAUAAAAAGUAGAUAAAUAUUUAAAGUGGAGAAAAGGAAAAAGAAAAACAGAAAUAAAAUAAAUAAAUAAAAUAAAUAAAUAAAAAUAAAAAAUUAGAAAUACAAUAAAAAGUUAACUGACACAAUAAAUAAACAAAAUAAUAAGUAUAUAAAAAAGGGUGGAGGUGCUUAAAUAAGAAAAAGGGGUGUGCAAAUUAAAUUUAGUGCUAACAACUGAUUAGGCCAAAGCCUUAGUGAAAAGGGGGGUGAAAAUGAAAAACAGGGGCAUCUAAAACUACUUUUCUUUUGGUUUAAUACCUAUUUUGGUCCCUUUUUUGGGAGGGUUUGUUCAAAGUGGUCCCUCCUUUUUU